This 311-nucleotide long non-coding RNA is filed under the name Eucalyptus grandis. RNAcentral's name for it is "long non-coding RNA (EGRA_LNC004937)". The record is from RNAcentral. Lineage: Eukaryota; Viridiplantae; Streptophyta; Magnoliopsida; Myrtales; Myrtaceae.
GUCCCUCACUUUCACCCAUUCAUGUGUCAGAUAAUAGUCUUCCGGCAUAACCAGGCAUUUCAUGUGUCACGAAUGAUUUCAAUGCUCAGAUAACAGUCUUUCGGCAUAACCGGGCAUUUCAUGUGUCACGAAUGAUUUCAAUGUCUUCCGGUAUAACCAGGCAUCGCCUCGCACCGUCGAGCGCGGCAUCGUCUACAUCUAGACGGCAUUCCAUAUAGGAGCAUCGCUUCAGCCUCUACUGCAAACGGCAUCCGUUGACGUGGGGCAUUCCCAAAGGAGCAUCGCCCGGCCCCAAAGGCUCGUGGUGGAAU